Molecule: transfer RNA, 73 nt
Filed under: Ktedonobacteria bacterium brp13
Lineage: Bacteria; Bacillati; Chloroflexota; Ktedonobacteria
Rfam family: tRNA
About the family: Transfer RNA (tRNA) molecules are approximately 80 nucleotides in length. Their secondary structure includes four short double-helical elements and three loops (D, anti-codon, and T loops).
Source: Rfam by way of RNAcentral
GCCGAUGUAGCUCAGUUGGUAGAGCAUUCGCUUCGUAAGUGAACGGUCAUCAGUUCGAGUCUGAUCAUCGGCU